CAGGCUGCCUUAGACAGGCAGAGCUGUGUAAAAACAAAAUAAAAUGGGAAAAUCUAAGAACUACUGUAAAAUGUAACCUGCUUUGUGCUUUCUUCCCCAGACUAGAAGAGACCUGUCUUAAGAAAGAUGGAGAUGGCCCCCAUCUUCCUUCCACAUGUUGCUCUGCCAAGGUUUUCUCAUUCUGAUCAACAUCUCAAAGCUUGGGCUCGGUCUGCCAAUAUCUUCUGCCUCAUGAGUGAUGGCACUGCAGAGUGUGGAAUGGAUCACAAUCAAAAAGCUGGUCUGUACAAGCGUUUUAAGGUAAUUUGGCCAGCAAAAGCUGCUGCUCAAGAACAUUUGAGAAACACCAUCUCCGAUUGAUGUGCCUUGCCAGACAGGCUCAGCAAAUGACUUUCCCUGGUGCUAUUUUAAAAGUCUUUAGUAGAGUUGUGCAAUUCACACUAAUUCUGAAGAAGUCUCUUGGAACAUGCCAAAGAUAAAGCGUGCAUUUUCAAGACUGCAACAUUUUCCAGGUAAUUUGGGUUAUAAGAAAACGGUUACCUGAUCACGUCCAAUCUGAGUUCAAACAGAGUAUGGUACACCAGAUCUUAAAAUGGGGCAGAUUUUUGUGUUAUGAUAAAUGACUUUACAGAUGCACGGAAAUUCAAAACUUAAAUCAACUUUUCUAGCAUGGUGGGGAGAGUAGUGAAAAAAUAGCUUUACACCCUACUCAUCAAGGUUAUGGCAUACACUAAUUAUGUAAAGUGUGAUUUAUCUGCUGUCUUGCAUAUGUUCCUUUGGGGAUUGAGAUCCAGGUUGAAGAGAGAGAAGAGCUGAAAUGUUGUUUUCUGAGAUAGUGUUCUAUUUUUUGAAAUGUGAUAUAUAUAGCAGAUUUCAGCUGUAAAUAUGUAACAAUAGCAACAGCACUCUUGAGCUAACUGUUUACACCAUUGUGGAAAACAGAACUUCUGCCAUUUAUCACUCAGCUUGAACCAAUACUUUUACAGUUCAGAGUUUGUGUUUGUAGCAAGCCUUUUCUGGCUUUAAUUGUCAAAGAUUUUAUUUCUGAUCAAAGCGAUACAAAAUGAGCCACACUGAACUUAGACAAUAUAUCACUACUAAAACUGGUUUCCAGAUAGCUCAUUUUCAUUUUCUGUAAAUCAAUUUAGAGUGGUUAGUCUUAUUGUGUGGUUUGUAUGAUUGCAAGAGAAUUUAAAAGCAAACUUCGACACUUAGCAAAUUCAUGGAAAUCCAAUGACAGACUUACUGAGCUAAAUGCAGCUAGAGAAUGUUGAACAUGGGAGACUUCAGUCUAACGUAGCAUAGCUGGCAGCCUUUGUUUCAUGAUUCAUCUUAAUAAUUGCCAUGUAAAAUUAGGAGUUUUAAUCCGCCUGUAAAGGACACCUUCCCAGCAUUUGAUGUUCUCUUCUAAAGCAGUAUCAGUUAAUACAACAGGGUGCAAUCUCAACUGCAGUGGAGAAUCACUAAAAUACUGGCUCAAGUCAGCGAGUGCUACCAUGCAGAAGGAAAUGUUUUGGACUUGCAUUGCAAUUAAAUGGAGAAGUCCUAUGAGCCUUCAGAGUUGCUAAAAUUGAUUGGAGUAUAUAUUUUUUUUAAAUAUUCCUCUGAUGCAUCUUUAGUCUAAAUGUAAAGCUCUAACUUCAACUCAGAGGGCUGUAGUCUGCCAUGAACUCUCUGCACGUUAUCUUACAUGUGUCAAGUGGCAAAAGCAUAAGGCUUGCUUACAUCAGCCUAAAUGAAAGUAAUUUAGGUUGAAUGUUUGGCUGAUGCUUCAGUUUCAAUAUCCACAUAAUGGUGUAUGCAAAUGCCUGCUUACAAAUUCAGAGCUCUCCCAAAUGCACAAGGCAUACGUUUUUUGUAUGGGCAAUACUGGAUUGUCUCAAUUACCAGUUCCAAAAUUCCCACUAAAACUGUGUCAAAAAAUGUUUCUUUGAAUUAAAACAGAGGCUUCAACCUUGCAGUGCUUUUAAAAGGCAAUCCUACGCAUAAUCCACAAGGUAGCUUGGACAUAGCCUCAGAUAUGAAUUUUAAUUAGUUUUCCUUCUCAUAUAUGGUCAGUAUCAUAACUAACACUCUGCAUAUGUAUUCAUUCCAUCAGGUUGGAUUCAGCUGGAGGAGUGUUUACAAUUAUUGUAAGCAACCAUAUUUUACCCUUUCAUAGGCUGGGACUGUAGCAUGAAAAGGAUGUUAAACCCUGCUUUAAAACAAAGCAUUACGUGGUUGCUGCUAUUUUUCCCAGAGCUCUUUGAACACCUUUUCCUACCAAAAUCAGUUCUUUUAAAAAGAGAGGGUAAAGACUUAUUGGAGAGUACAGAAAAUAAAUUAACCCUGAUUGGAGUACA
RNAcentral lists this long non-coding RNA (2342 nucleotides) under Anas platyrhynchos platyrhynchos (common mallard). Its description in RNAcentral is "lncRNA (ENSAPLG00000025386.1)". The record is from RNAcentral. Lineage: Eukaryota; Metazoa; Chordata; Aves; Anseriformes; Anatidae.